RNAcentral lists this transfer RNA (76 nucleotides) under Chloroflexota bacterium. RNAcentral describes it as "Chloroflexi bacterium tRNA-Val". It matches the Rfam family "tRNA". From Rfam's summary of the family: Transfer RNA (tRNA) molecules are approximately 80 nucleotides in length. Their secondary structure includes four short double-helical elements and three loops (D, anti-codon, and T loops). The record is from RNAcentral. Lineage: Bacteria; Bacillati; Chloroflexota.
UGGGAUGUGGUGUAACGUUAGCACGCGGCAGACUUACAAUUCCGAGGUGCAGGUUCGAUUCCUGUCAUCCCAACCA